UACGGGGGGGGCAAGCGUUGUUCGGAAUUACUGGGAGUAAAGGGCUCGUAGGUGGCCAACUAAGUCAGACGUGAAAUCCCUCGGCUUAACCGGGGAACUGCGUCUGAUACUGGAUGGCUUGAGUUUGGGAGAGGGACGCGGAAUUCCAGGUGUAGCGGUGAAAUGCGUAGAUAUCUGGAGGAACACCGGUGGCGAAGGCGGCGUCCUGGACCAACACUGACACUGAUGAGCGAAAGCCAGGGGAGCAAACGGG
Molecule: ribosomal RNA, 253 nt
Filed under: uncultured bacterium
Lineage: Bacteria
Description: partial 16S ribosomal RNA
Rfam family: Bacterial small subunit ribosomal RNA
Source: RNAcentral